RNAcentral lists this long non-coding RNA (848 nucleotides) under Vitis vinifera (wine grape). RNAcentral describes it as "long non-coding RNA (VVIN_LNC000085)". Lineage: Eukaryota; Viridiplantae; Streptophyta; Magnoliopsida; Vitales; Vitaceae. The record is from RNAcentral.
GGAUGUGGAAGGGCUCGAGUGCCUUGGGCCUUGCCUUUCUUUUGUUGCUCUAGCCUAGCCUCCUCAAUGGGUUGUUUUUCUUCGGAUCAGUCCUCUUUGGUUGGAGAAAUGCCCCUUUUUGCCUUGGGUAGGCUAUUCUUGUUGAGUGCCUCUGCGCUAGUGGAAUGGGUCAACAUAGAAAUAUUUUUAAGAGGUCCCCCUUGUUGCAUGGUGCAGGUGGGGGUGGUCCAAAAACUUACGCUAGACCCUUGUAUCUUGAUGAUGACACAAAGCCUUGAGAUAAGAUCGCUAUUUGCAGAUGCUGCCUCUUGGUUGAAGAUGAUGGUUUUGUAAGUAAGGACUUGUCUUUUUCUUAUGUGUUAGGGGAUGGAACUUCCCUUCUUUUUUCAAAGACGAGGGUGCAUCGAUGGUGAUGGCCAAUAGCUUAGUUCUGUGGAGGGAGCAGGAUGAGGGGUUUUUAGUAGAUGGUAAGGCAAUGUUUGUGGGCCUUUUGUGUUUGUUUUCCAACGAGGGUUUAGUUGUGGGCUUCCUAGAGAUGCAUUCUAGCGAUGCCUAGUGCGCGAACCUUGAUUUGUGGGCUGAAGAGGUGGUUUUAAGAAAGGGUACCCCUACUAAGGACAUGAUGGGCGACUAUAGGCUCUUCAAUCUGUCAUUUAAGAAUUUCAUUUCCUUUGGUAAUUGGUUGGGUUUACCAAUGGACUGUUUUGAAAAGGAAGUUGCAUCCCUAUUGANNNNNNNNNNNUGCGCGAACCUUGAUUUGUGGGCUGAAGAGGUGGUUUUAAGAAAGGGUAGCCCUAGUAAGGACAUGAUGGGCGACUAGAGGCUCUUCAAUCUGUCAUUUAGGAAUU